AAUAUACUAAAGAGAAAUACUAAGAAUCCACUUUUGGUAUAUUUAUAUACAUAUAAGAAGAAUAUACUAAGAGAAAAUGAGAAUUGGAUGGACAAACAUAGUCUCAUUCUUAAGGAACUGAUAUUUGGUUUUAGAUAUCUUUAAAAGUAGAAAAUAAGUUUUCUAAAGUGUUUUUCAACUAACAUAUUUUAAUAUGAAUGGCUAAUGCAACCCAAAUCUGUCUUGACAGCUAAGCUGCAAAACCAAGAGGAAGGUAUUUCUUGCAAGAAGCAACUUUUUAACUAUUGCAGUCCUUUGAUAGAGGUAGAAAAAAGACAACUAAAGGGAAUCAUGAUCUAAUUACUCAGUAACAG
RNAcentral lists this long non-coding RNA (353 nucleotides) under Pan troglodytes (chimpanzee). RNAcentral describes it as "long non-coding RNA NONPTRT017069". Lineage: Eukaryota; Metazoa; Chordata; Mammalia; Primates; Hominidae. The record is from RNAcentral.